This 448-nucleotide ribosomal RNA is filed under the name uncultured organism. RNAcentral's name for it is "bacterial SSU rRNA". It matches the Rfam family "Bacterial small subunit ribosomal RNA", at positions 28 to 507 of the family's 1533-position model. The record is from RNAcentral.
GAUAAACGCUGGCGGCGUGCCUAAAACAUGCAAGUCGAACGGACAUCUUUCGGGGUGUUAGUGGCGAACGGCUGAGUAACACGUGGGUGACCUGCCUUCGAACGGGGGAUAACUGCCCGAAAGGGUGGCUAAUACCGCAGAUGUUGCGACUUCGGUGUCGUAACUGAACUUCCGGGGUUCGGAGAGGGGCCUGCGUCCGAUUAGCUAGUUGGUGGGGUAACGGCCUACCAAGGCGACGAUCGGUAGCUGGUCUGAGAGGAUGAUCAGCCAGACUGGGACUGCGAACGGCCCAGACUCCUACGGGAGGCAGCAGUUAGGAAUUUUGGGCAAUGGGCGAAAGCCUGACCCAGCAACGCCGCGUGGGUGAUGAAGGCCCUCGGGUCGUAAAGCCCUUUUCCCAGGGAAGAUGAUGACGGUACCUGGGGAAUCAGCCCCGGCUAACUACGUG